AGAGUUUGAUCCUGGCUCAGGAUGAACGCUAGCUACAGGCUUAACACAUGCAAGUCGAGGGGAAACGACAUCGAAAGCUUGCUUUUGAUGGGCGUCGACCGGCGCACGGGUGAGUAACGCGUAUCCAACCUGCCCAUCACUUGGGGAUAACCUUGCGAAAGUAAGACUAAUACCCAAUGAUAUCUCUAGAAGACAUCUGAAAGAGAUUAAAGAUUUAUCGGUGAUGGAUGGGGAUGCGUCUGAUUAGCUUGUUGGCGGGUAACGGCCCACAAGGCUACGAUCGAGUAGGGGUUCUGAGAGGAACGGUCCCCCANAUUGGAACUGGAGACACGGUCCAAAACUCCUACGGGAGCA
This 354-nucleotide ribosomal RNA is filed under the name uncultured bacterium. RNAcentral describes it as "bacterial SSU rRNA". It matches the Rfam family "Bacterial small subunit ribosomal RNA", at positions 8 to 349 of the family's 1533-position model. The record is from RNAcentral.